AGAAUGAACGCUGGCGGCGUGCUUAACACAUGCAAGUCGCACGAGAACUCUUCUGCUUGCAGAAGAUAGUAAAGUGGCGCACGGGUGAGUAACGCGUGGGUAAUCUACCUCUGAAUUGGGGAUAACAUUGUGAAAGCGAUGCUAAUACCGAAUAAUAUCCCGAGAACCUAGGUUUUUGGGAUCAAAGGUGGCCUCUACAUGUAAGCUACUGUUUAGAGAUGAGCCCGCGUACCAUUAGCUUGUUGGUAGGGUAAUGGCCUACCAAGGCAACGAUGGUUAGCUGGUCUGAGAGGAUGAUCAGCCACACUGGAACUGACACACGGUCCAGACUCCUACGGGAGGCAGCAGUGAGGAAUUUUGCGCAAUGGGGGAAACCCUGACGCAGCAACGCCGCGUGAGUGAUGAAGGCUUUCGAGUCGUAAAGCUCUGUCAAGUGAGAAGAACCUGUCCCGCGGUAAUACCGCGGGAUACUGACGGUAUCACUGAAGGAAGCACCGGCUAACUCCGUGCCAGCAGCCGCGGUAAUACGGGGGGUGCAAGCGUUAUUCGGAAUUAUUGGGCGUAAAGGGCGCGUAGGCGGUCUUUUAAGUCAGAUGUGAAAGCCCGGGGCUCAACCCCGGAAGAGCAUUUGAAACUAAUGGACUUGAGUAUGGGAGAGGGAAGUGGAAUUCCUGGUGUAGAGGUGAAAUUCGUAGAUAUCAGGAGGAACACCGGUGGCGAAGGCGACUUCCUGGACCAAUACUGACGCUGAGGCGCGAAGGCGUGGGGAGCAAACAGGAUUAGAUACCCUGGGUAGUCCACGCAGUAACGGUGAACACUA
Molecule: ribosomal RNA, 820 nt
Filed under: uncultured bacterium
Lineage: Bacteria
Description: bacterial SSU rRNA
Rfam family: Bacterial small subunit ribosomal RNA
Source: RNAcentral